UUAGUCUAGGUGGUCAGGAUACUUGGCUUUCACUUCACUGGCAACGGUGUAAGAGCUCCCAAGAGACACGGGUUCGAGUCCCGUAU
This 86-nucleotide transfer RNA is filed under the name Pinguiococcus pyrenoidosus. It matches the Rfam family "tRNA", at positions 7 to 64 of the family's 71-position model. From Rfam's summary of the family: Transfer RNA (tRNA) molecules are approximately 80 nucleotides in length. The record is from RNAcentral. Lineage: Eukaryota; Pinguiophyceae; Pinguiochrysidales; Pinguiochrysidaceae.